Pelobates cultripes (western spadefoot toad) is the source of this 586-nucleotide non-coding RNA. The record is from the annotation of a GenBank genome assembly. Lineage: Eukaryota; Metazoa; Chordata; Amphibia; Anura; Pelobatidae.
CCAGUAUCUAAAGUCUUAGACCUGUGGAGCAAAAUUCUCCCAUGUAGGGUUAAAUAUAAAUCACAUCCUUUUAAAAUACGACUACAUAAGAUACAUCCUUAUAGAUCUCAUAAUAUAGAUCAAAUCUACAGAUUCAACAUACCCCUUUUUUUGUAGUUAUGUUUUUAUAGAAUUGUCAAUACUGCACUAUAUCAUCAGUCUGAAAAUGUCACAAUAUGCUCAUUCUUGCUUGCAUGAGAAGCACUGCAUCUAGGUCCAACUACCCGGUACUAGUUGGGCUUCAAAUUAAUUUAAUGUCACAAAUUGAUAAAUAUUAUUGUUCAAGUUCCAGAUUAAUUAGUUAAACUGAUUUUAUUUUUUCAGACAAUAAAACCAUUCUGUUAAUACCGGUAUUUUGGCAGUGACAGGAUAAUAUUUAUUUUUCUCUAAACAUCUGCUUCUACAAGGCUGUUACAUUUCAAUUUUUGUCCUAAUUGUCCUCAAAUAACAUUUGUCUGCUUGUCACUGGUCAUUAUUUUGCAAUUUAUUACCUAUAGGCACAUUUUCUUCCACCAUGUUGGGUUUAAUUUAUAAUUUUUUUUUUGCU